AGCGUACACGGUGGAUGCCCUGGCAGUCAGAGGCGAUGAAGGACGUGCUAAUCUGCGAUAAGCGUCGGUAAGGUGAUAUGAACCGUUAUAACCGGCGAUUUCCGAAUGGGGAAACCCAGUGUGAUUCGACACACUAUCAUUAACUGAAUCCAUAGGUUAAUGAGGCGAACCGGGGGAACUGAAACAUCUAAGUACCCCGAGGAAAAGAAAUCAACCGAGAUUCCCCCAGUAGCGGCGAGCGAACGGGGAGCAGCCCAGAGCCUGAAUCAGUGUGUGUGUUAGUGGAAGCGUCUGGAAAGGCGCGCGAUACAGGGUGACAGCCCCGUACACAAAAAUGCACAUGCUGUGAGCUCGAUGAGUAGGGCGGGACACGUGGUAUCCUGUCUGAAUAUGGGGGGACCAUCCUCCAAGGCUAAAUACUCCUGACUGACCGAUAGUGAACCAGUACCGUGAGGGAAAGGCGAAAAGAACCCCGGCGAGGGGAGUGAAAAAGAACCUGAAACCGUGUACGUACAAGCAGUGGGAGCCUCUUUAUGGGGUGACUGCGUACCUUUUGUAUAAUGGGUCAGCGACUUAUAUUCUGUAGCAAGGUUAACCGAAUAGGGGAGCCGAAGGGAAACCGAGUCUUAACUGGGCGUUAAGUUGCAGGGUAUAGACCCGAAACCCGGUGAUCUAGCCAUGGGCAGGUUGAAGGUUGGGUAACACUAACUGGAGGACCGAACCGACUAAUGUUGAAAAAUUAGCGGAUGACUUGUGGCUGGGGGUGAAAGGCCAAUCAAACCGGGAGAUAGCUGGUUCUCCCCGAAAGCUAUUUAGGUAGCGCCUCGUGAAUUCAUCUCCGGGGGUAGAGCACUGUUUCGGCAAGGGGGUCAUCCCGACUUACCAACCCGAUGCAAACUGCGAAUACCGGAGAAUGUUAUCACGGGAGACACACGGCGGGUGCUAACGUCCGUCGUGAAGAGGGAAACAACCCAGACCGCCAGCUAAGGUCCCAAAGUCAUGGUUAAGUGGGAAACGAUGUGGGAAGGCCCAGACAGCCAGGAUGUUGGCUUAGAAGCAGCCAUCAUUUAAAGAAAGCGUAAUAGCUCACUGGUCGAGUCGGCCUGCGCGGAAGAUGUAACGGGGCUAAACCAUGCACCGAAGCUGCGGCAGCGACGCUUAUGCGUUGUUGGGUAGGGGAGCGUUCUGUAAGCCUGUGAAGGUGUACUGUGAGGUAUGCUGGAGGUAUCAGAAGUGCGAAUGCUGACAUAAGUAACGAUAAAGCGGGUGAAAAGCCCGCUCGCCGGAAGACCAAGGGUUCCUGUCCAACGUUAAUCGGGGCAGGGUGAGUCGACCCCUAAGGCGAGGCCGAAAGGCGUAGUCGAUGGGAAACAGGUUAAUAUUCCUGUACUUGGUGUUACUGCGAAGGGGGGACGGAGAAGGCUAUGUUGGCCGGGCGACGGUUGUCCCGGUUUAAGCGUGUAGGCUGGUUUUCCAGGCAAAUCCGGAAAAUCAAGGCUGAGGCGUGAUGACGAGGCACUACGGUGCUGAAGCAACAAAUGCCCUGCUUCCAGGAAAAGCCUCUAAGCAUCAGGUAACAUCAAAUCGUACCCCAAACCGACACAGGUGGUCAGGUAGAGAAUACCAAGGCGCUUGAGAGAACUCGGGUGAAGGAACUAGGCAAAAUGGUGCCGUAACUUCGGGAGAAGGCACGCUGAUAUGUAGGUGAAGCGACUUGCUCGUGGAGCUGAAAUCAGUCGAAGAUACCAGCUGGCUGCAACUGUUUAUUAAAAACACAGCACUGUGCAAACACGAAAGUGGACGUAUACGGUGUGACGCCUGCCCGGUGCCGGAAGGUUAAUUGAUGGGGUUAGCGGUAACGCGAAGCUCUUGAUCGAAGCCCCGGUAAACGGCGGCCGUAACUAUAACGGUCCUAAGGUAGCGAAAUUCCUUGUCGGGUAAGUUCCGACCUGCACGAAUGGCGUAAUGAUGGCCAGGCUGUCUCCACCCGAGACUCAGUGAAAUUGAACUCGCUGUGAAGAUGCAGUGUACCCGCGGCAAGACGGAAAGACCCCGUGAACCUUUACUAUAGCUUGACACUGAACAUUGAGCCUUGAUGUGUAGGAUAGGUGGGAGGCUUUGAAGUGUGGACGCCAGUCUGCAUGGAGCCGGCCUUGAAAUACCACCCUUUAAUGUUUGAUGUUCUAACGUUGGCCCCUAAUCGGGGUUGCGGACAGUGUCUGGUGGGUAGUUUGACUGGGGCGGUCUCCUCCUAAAGAGUAACGGAGGAGCACGAAGGUUGGCUAAUCCUGGUCGGACAUCAGGAGGUUAGUGCAAUGGCAUAAGCCAGCUUGACUGCGAGCGUGACGGCGCGAGCAGGUGCGAAAGCAGGUCAUAGUGAUCCGGUGGUUCUGAAUGGAAGGGCCAUCGCUCAACGGAUAAAAGGUACUCCGGGGAUAACAGGCUGAUACCGCCCAAGAGUUCAUAUCGACGGCGGUGUUUGGCACCUCGAUGUCGGCUCAUCACAUCCUGGGGCUGAAGUAGGUCCCAAGGGUAUGGCUGUUCGCCAUUUAAAGUGGUACGCGAGCUGGGUUUAGAACGUCGUGAGACAGUUCGGUCCCUAUCUGCCGUGGGCGCUGGAGAACUGAGGGGGGCUGCUCCUAGUACGAGAGGACCGGAGUGGACGCAUCACUGGUGUUCGGGUUGUCAUGCCAAUGGCACUGCCCGGUAGCUAAAUGCGGAAGAGAUAAGUGCUGAAAGCAUCUAAGCACGAAACUUGCCCCGAGAUGAGUUCU
Molecule: ribosomal RNA, 2774 nt
Filed under: Escherichia coli
Lineage: Bacteria; Pseudomonadati; Pseudomonadota; Gammaproteobacteria; Enterobacterales; Enterobacteriaceae
Description: bacterial LSU rRNA
Rfam family: Bacterial large subunit ribosomal RNA
Source: RNAcentral